Poeciliopsis prolifica (blackstripe livebearer) is the source of this 2579-nucleotide RNA transcript. It is a transcript of the gene named diphthamide biosynthesis 1, with no coding region annotated. Lineage: Eukaryota; Metazoa; Chordata; Actinopteri; Cyprinodontiformes; Poeciliidae. The record is from RefSeq and is a predicted model, not a curated record. The transcript has 13 exons.
CUUUCUGUCGCUCACGUGCUUCUUGUUUGGAAGGGAGAAAACAUGGCGGCGCCCGCAGUCGAAGUGGACGUAGUUCCUGUCAAAAAGCCUACAGUGCGGGGCCCUCGACGGGUAGCCAAUCAAAUUCCAGAUGAAAUCCUCCAAGACCCUGAGCUGCAGGAAGCCAUCAAAGUCCUGCCAUCAAAUUACAACUUUGAGAUCCACAAGACCGUUUGGAGGGUGAGACAAGCAAAAGUGAAGAGAGUCGCUUUGCAGCUUCCGGAGGGCCUGCAGAUGUUUGCUUGCGCCAUCGCCGACAUCAUAGAGAGAUUCACGGAGGCGGACACCAUCAUAAUGGGGGACGUGACGUACGGCGCCUGCUGCGUGGAUGACUUCACUGCCCGUGCCCUGGGAGCAGAUUUCAUGGUUCACUAUGGCCACAGCUGUCUGAUCCCCAUAGACUCCACUACGGGGAUCAAGAUGCUGUACGUGUUUGUGGAUAUCCAGAUGGACAAUGCGCACUUCCUGGACACAGUGAAGUUCAACUUCAAUCCUGGACAAUCCCUGGCACUUGUCAGCACCAUUCAGUUUGUUGCAGCAUUGCAGGCUGUGAGUGCAGCCCUGAGGCCAGAGUAUAAUGUGCUCGUCCCCCAGUGUCGGCCUCUGUCACCGGGAGAAAUUCUAGGCUGCACCUCUCCACGCUUGGAUCGCCACGUCGAUGCCAUAAUUUAUCUUGGAGAUGGAAGAUUUCACUUGGAGUCAAUCAUGAUCGCAAACCCAGACAUUCCUGCCUACAGAUAUGACCCCUACAGCAAGGUGUUCUCCAGGGAGUACUAUGAUCACAAGGCCAUGCGCACCACCAGGCUGCAGGCCAUCGACCAGGCUCGGCUGGCCCAGAGAUGGGGUCUGAUCUUGGGCACUCUGGGCCGACAGGGCAGUCCCAAAGUCCUGGAGCACCUGGAGUCAAAGCUUGAAUCUCUGGGCAAGUCCUUCACUCGAGUGCUGCUCUCUGAGGUCUUCCCCAGCAAGCUGGAUCUGAUUCCAGAUGUAGACGUGUGGGUCCAGAUCGCCUGCCCACGCCUCUCCAUCGACUGGGGAACAGCUUUCUCCAAACCCCUGCUGUCUCCGUAUGAGGCGGCUGUUGCUCUGCAGGAAGUAGGCUGGGAGGAAGUGUAUCCGAUGGACUUCUAUUCCAAUCAGAGCUUGGGGCCAUGGGCGCCCAACCACCCUGAAAACCAGCCGGCUCGGCCCGCUCGGAGACACGCCCAGAAACAAGGCACGGAGCCAGCCCUUCCCACCAAGACGUGCGAGCGGAGUCGGGGCGCCCCCUGCGGAUGUGAAGAGGGAACGACAGCCUCGUGAGCGCGGCUGUCAGUGAUUCAUCUCAUGCCUGCCUCUUUCUACAGAGAGAAAGAGGAGAGAAGAACAAGAAGAUAAAGCCUGGACGGCCAAGCAGCAGUGGGGCGGAAGGUUGCUAGAAGGUUGAAUAAGUCAUUAGUGAAAAGAAGAAGAAGAAAAAAAAAGAAGUGUUGUAAAGAGAUGACUAAUUCUGCGUAGGAGGUCAGCCUGUCCCAGAUUAUCCGGCCAAAGUGCCACCAGAACACCAGCCUCACAGACGUCGGCAUCUUUUUCAACUGACUUACUCCACAGUGCUGCUGUUUGACCUGUGGAGCUGCAGGAGAAAUGUUGAAACCUUAGAAACCAGAUUCUACAUAAAGCGUACAAAACCUUUUCCUUUCUCAUUCUCUGACUUUAGAUCAUACUAAUCGUUCCCUGAAUUAGCUUUCUUACAAUUUCUAAAUGUAUUUUGUUUGAUGAGGACCAGAAAUACGAUGGAGUAUUAGUAUUUUUAAAAAAUAAAAUUACGAGAAUAAAGUCGUAGUCCUACGAGAAUGACUUUAUUCUUGUAAUAUUUUAUGUCUUUCUUUAUUGCUUUACUCAGGUAGAAAUUUUCAAUAAAACUUUUUCUUUUUCAGACGUUUGCAUGCACUGAGAUUACCUUACCGUCAAUCAGUGUGAUAUUUAUAUCAUAUUUUAAGUUUGUUUUUGCUUAUUAUUCAGAGACUGACUUCUGUUUUUCAGUCUCUGAUUUCCAGUAAAUAGGAAAUGUGCAUGUAAAAUUAUUUUCGGGGAGUUUAAAUCCUUGGGGCAUGAAAGGAUUUUAAACUAAACUACUUUUUCACAUCAGCUCAGUUAUGAAAAAGAUCACUUCAGUUCUUUUUCAUAGAAAAUACUAAAUUGUUAAAUGGCUGAGCUGCUAACCAAAGUUUCUAUUAGCCACAUACCGGAUGCUGUUUAGGAUUGGAUGGAUUUUUUUUUUUUACUUAAAGGGGAAUCUUUAAGCCAAAAGCAAAAAAAAAAAAAGUACUUGAUCCAAAAUUAAUAACCAUAAAGUAACUCCAGAAAGACACAAACAGGAUUUGGUAGAUAACAGAUGACAUAAUCAGACUGUUUUAUCUGACAAUUAUUUUCAUAAAAAAUGCCACAUCUUCAUGAUGUUGAUGUUUCACCUUUGUUCUUUCAAAGGAAAAAAAAAAAUAAACACCUCAAAAACUUUUUGGAAAAAAUCUUCCAUCCUGUUUUGUUAUGCAUCAUUUUUU